This 406-nucleotide ribosomal RNA is filed under the name uncultured bacterium. RNAcentral's name for it is "partial 16S ribosomal RNA". It matches the Rfam family "Bacterial small subunit ribosomal RNA", at positions 30 to 526 of the family's 1533-position model. The record is from RNAcentral.
AUUGAACGCUGGCGGCAGGCCUAACACAUGCAAGUCGAACGAGUGGCGGACGGGAGAGUAAUGUCCGUGCAACUUACCGAGGGAUGGGGAUAACUACUGGUAACGGUAGCUACAAACGCCUACAACCAGAUGUGCCCAGAUGGGAUUAGCGAGUUGGUGGGGUAACGGCUCACAAAGGCCACGAUCCCUAGCUGGUCUGAGAGGAUGACCAGCCACACUGGAACUGAGACACGGUCCAGACUCCUACGGGAGGCAGCAGUGGGGAAUAUUGCACAAUGGGCGAAAGCCUGAUGCAGCCAUGCCGCGUGUAUGAAGAAGGCCUUCGGGUUGUAAAGCACUUUCAGCAGGGAGGCGUUACCCGCAGAAGAAGCACCGGCUAACUCCGUGCCAGCAGCCGCGGUAAUAC